RNAcentral lists this ribosomal RNA (253 nucleotides) under uncultured bacterium. RNAcentral's name for it is "partial 16S ribosomal RNA". It matches the Rfam family "Bacterial small subunit ribosomal RNA", at positions 524 to 776 of the family's 1533-position model. The record is from RNAcentral.
UACGAAGGGGGCUAGCGUUGUUCGGAAUUACUGGGCGUAAAGCGCACGUAGGCGGACUAUUAAGUCAGGGGUGAAAUCCCGGGGCUCAACCCCGGAACUGCCUUUGAUACUGGUAGUCUCGAGUCCUGAAGAGGUGAGUGGAAUUCCGAGUGUAGAGGUGAAAUUCGUAGAUAUUCGGAGGAACACCAGUGGCGAAGGCGGCUCACUGGUCCGGUACUGACGCUGAGGUGCGAAAGCGUGGGGAGCAAACAGG